AAACAACUAGUGAGGUUUUUGGAAGAAGAAGCCGAUGCUGGGUUCCAACUUCUACUGAAUCAAGGAAGCGCUUCGGGUAGCAGCAAAGGCUGUCGUUCUUGACUUACAGCCUGAGAUGAAGAUAAUGAAGGAAAUCAAGCUGAAAGGAACUCCUCUAAAAAUCAAGCAGAGGAAGUCUCUUAUCAAGUUUGAACCAGAAGAUGUUGAUGUUGUUGAAUUUAUAGGUUCACCUAUUUGGACUCAGAGUGGAAAUCGGGGGCAUGUUAACGAGGCGGCAAAGAGAGACGGA
Molecule: long non-coding RNA, 289 nt
Organism: Papaver somniferum (opium poppy)
Lineage: Eukaryota; Viridiplantae; Streptophyta; Magnoliopsida; Ranunculales; Papaveraceae
Exons: 3
Source: RefSeq, a predicted model, not a curated record